Pezoporus flaviventris is the source of this 1102-nucleotide long non-coding RNA. RefSeq lists it as uncharacterized. The transcript has 3 exons. The record is from RefSeq and is a predicted model, not a curated record. NCBI's taxonomy places the organism in Eukaryota, Metazoa, Chordata, Aves, Psittaciformes, Psittacidae.
UUACUGUGACCUUGGCCAGUUCACAUGGGACUUGCUGUUAAUUCAAGAGGAUGUGGUCACUGGAAGAACAAACCAGCAAUAGCGUUAGAGAAACAAAGUGCAGCAGAAUAAUAAGCAUCUGGACCAUAAACACUGCUACCACAUGUGAUGGACCAUAUCCAAGUUAAACACUCUCACCAGAGCAUGCUCCAAGACAGACGACUGGGCCUCAGGCUUUGCCAAUACAAUGCAGUUCUAUUCUCUAUUUAUUUUUGUAGUUCAAAGACCUGGCAGUAGCCCAUUUGAUGCCUGCCAUAAAGACCAGUGCACUCCUGAUUACUGCCAUGAGAUUUCCAAGCCCACAGACGGCGUAUAUUCCAAUGUAUGCCAGUCACCAAGAUAGACCAUGCACAAAUAGCAGCAGGAUUCUCUGAGAGAAAGAAAAAAGCCAGCUCCUAUUUCCACUUUGAAGCCCCCCAUAACAGGCUGCCAACUUGAGGACCUUGCUUUAAUCACAGCAGCCACAUGAAAGAGUUCAUUCUGUUUAUCUUGGUUCAUUUAGGAAACCAGUGAUAAGUCUGCCAUGAAAAAAAAACAUCUUCUCCUGGAAGCUGGCAUACUUGUCCCAAGAUAUGGGCUUUGAUUUCAUUUUAAGUGCAGUUAUUUACAGUCAUACCACAGAGUGCAUGAGUUUUCUCAUUCUACCAGAUGACUCCUUUUCCCUGAUAAGCAAGCUGUGAAUACUUAAAAUUUCCUCUCAAGUACAAUGGCAUCUCUGAGUGGAAGUGGUAGGAAGAGGGCAGCAGAUGCUCCUACAGCUUCAGGUUAAGCGUGCAAGCUGCAUCCUGAUGUUCGCACCCAGCCAGGCAAUAAAAGGAACUGGAGGAAGAACUGUGGCCCACACAUAGGAGGGAACAAGGUGCGUGAUGUGACUCAACUUUCUCCCACUAGGCUUUCUGAAGCAAAUAAGACAAGCGUAAUUGUAAAUAAAGAUAGGAGGCUGGUGUUCAACUACUGAAUAUGGAGUAUUACUUUGCCAUGAAACAGCAAUAUCAGAAAAAAAACAAAGUUGCAGACUAAUUGUGGAUAAAAACAUAUAAUCCUCUUCUGCAUGAGUGGACUG